UCCAGGCAAGGUGGCACACACCUGUAGUCCCAGCUACUCAGGAGGCUGAGACAGGAGGAUUGCUGAAUGCUGUAGUGCAUUAUGCCAAUCGGGUGUCACCAUCAAGUUCAGCAUCAAUAUGGUGACCUCCCGGGAGUGGGGACCACCAGAUUGCCUUGGGAGGGGUGAAUCGGCCCAGGCCAGAUACAGAGCAGGUCAAAACUCCCAUGCUGAUCAUAUUACACAUUUCUUAAUGUAAAUGUAAAGUAAAUAUUUUU
RNAcentral lists this signal recognition particle RNA (257 nucleotides) under Meriones unguiculatus (Mongolian gerbil). RNAcentral describes it as "Metazoan signal recognition particle RNA (ENSMUGG00000025067.1)". It matches the Rfam family "Metazoan signal recognition particle RNA". Rfam says of the family: The signal recognition particle (SRP) is a universally conserved ribonucleoprotein. Lineage: Eukaryota; Metazoa; Chordata; Mammalia; Rodentia; Muridae. The record is from RNAcentral.